UACGUAGGUGGCAAGCGUUGUCCGGAUUUACUGGGCGUAAAGAGCGCGCAGGCGGUCGUUCAAGUCGCGUGUGAAAGCCCCCGGCUCAACUGGGGAGGGUCACGCGAUACUGAUCGACUCGAAGGCAGGAGAGGGUAGUGGAAUUCCCGGUGUAGUGGUGAAAUGCGUAGAUAUCGUGAGGAACACCAGAGGCGAAGGCGGCUACCUGGACAAUUGCUGACGCUCAGGCACGAAAGCGUGGGGAGCAAAAGGG
Molecule: ribosomal RNA, 253 nt
Filed under: uncultured bacterium
Lineage: Bacteria
Description: partial 16S ribosomal RNA
Rfam family: Bacterial small subunit ribosomal RNA
Source: RNAcentral